Diorhabda carinulata is the source of this 2420-nucleotide long non-coding RNA. RefSeq lists it as uncharacterized. The transcript has 4 exons. The record is from RefSeq and is a predicted model, not a curated record. Lineage: Eukaryota; Metazoa; Arthropoda; Insecta; Coleoptera; Chrysomelidae.
UUCAUAUGGAUUCUUGAUAGUAUACAUUGGAUAAUUAACAUUAACCGAUAUAAGUGUAUUUAUUCUCUAAAACAUAAACACCAAAUAAACUCAAUUCAAUAUUCUAACCUCAACUUUGCACUGACAGUUACUAAUUUAAGAAUUCAGUAUAAUGCCGGCUACGUGUAAUUAAAUGUUAUCACAAUUUAAUUAUCAACUUCGGCCUGUUGUGAGCGUAAAAACAUUCAAGUUAUAUCAUCAAUAAACAAGCAAGGUGAUUCUGAUUUAUUUCUGGAUAAUUUAUAUAAGACCAAUAAAUUGAAGUUUACUUUUAAAAGGUGGAUGGAAGUAGAUAAAACUGUUGGAAGACUAUAAAACAAAUAAACAACAAAUUCGUUUGAAAUUUAAAUUAUUUGCAUCACAUCUCUCUUCAUUUCCUCGAUGUAAUUCCGAAGAGUAGGCAGAUUAAGACCUUGGAAUCAACCAAGAGAAAGGGGUGAUCCGUUGUGAGGAGUGGGUAGAUUAGACCAAGGAAUCGGAUCACUUCUUACCAAUGAACGAUAACAAACCUACCCUUCUCUUGAUAAUGGCCCCAAGGCAGAAAAUGCAGGACAAUUACAAAAAAUAAAAUUAUUUCAUCUUAAAAUAUUUCCGUUAAGUGGAUAUAUUUCCAUAAUUAUUGCGAUUUCGUGACAAAGUUCAUUUGUAUUUUCACUUUCUGUCGAUCUUCAUCACCUCUUCAUUGGCUUCCUCAGAAACCAGCUGUAUAGGGGCCUGAUGGGGUUUGGCGUCCCAAAGAAGCUGGUGUGUAUGGUUAGAAUGACAAUGAUUAGAAUUUUUACUGUGAACACGGGCUUGCGUCAGGAAAUCCAUUAGCAACAACACUGAUCAAUUUACUUGGAGGAACUAUUUGCAAUAGGCUCACACAACACCUCGCCUAUGCGAAUGAUGUUGACAUCAUGGCACGAACCACUUCAGUUCUUUCGGGAACGGUCGAGGAGUUCGAGCAAGUAGGUGAAGCAAGAGGACUCAAAAUCCAUGAACAAAAAACAUGUACAUGAGAACCUCAAAGAAAAUCCCGACCUUCAAGUCAGAGAACAUCGCUUCCGAUCAAAACAAGAGUUGCUGCCGGAAACAGAAACUUUUGGGCAGUCUAGAGAGCGCUCAAGUUUAGAGGACUCUCACGAAGGUCAAAGCUCACAAUUUACAAGACAAUUAUACAUCCUGUAAUCGCAUACGGAUGCGAGAAAUGUACUAUAACGACAAAUGUAUGGCGAGUCAGAUUUGAUGGCGUUCAUCCGGGGGGCGCGUUUGAUGUGGCUGGGACAUGCCCUCUGAUCGAUACCCGCGCAGAGACAUGUAUGGAGUUCCUGGAGAACAAGACUGCGCCUCCGCUGAUUGGAGAAGUUGAGGCGGAUUUGAUCCAGCUAUGGGUUCGACAUUGGAGGCACCAUAUUCAGGACAGAAAGGAUUGGCAGUUGAUUGUUAAGAAGGGCCUGGUUCUCAAAGGACAAUAGCGCCGGUUAAAGAAGUGACUUUUUUAUUUUCUUUUUCUGUCCUCGUAUAUAUUGUUUUAACGAUUUAAAUUAUCAAUAAAUAAUGACAUGAGUUAUUUCUAUAACAAACUGAUUUUUUAAAUAUUUUAUAAAGUUAAAAAGCUUAAUAGAACUUCAUUAGUUUGAGGUGUUGUAGUUUAUUAUUUAGAUUUAUUAGUUUAUGUUAAAAGCAUUAUGAUCAUAGGAAAAAUGUAGUAUUAGACCCGUUGACAAUAUUUUGUUAUGCUCGUGACAAUUAACAGCCUCGGAUUCAAUAGUUUCAAAAAAGAUACUAUUCUUCUGACAAUUAAAAUAUAUAAAAAUUACAAUUAUUUGGGAGACAUCUAGCAAAAAUAUAAGUUUUAUUAAAAAAAAUGGAAACAACUAUUAAAUUUGGCUGUGAUAUGAAAAAAAUAUCCUUAAAACAUUCUAACAUUGUUAAAUAGAUUACUUAGUUUUAUAUACAACAUUGCAUAGAGGUUUUUCACUAUAUAAAAAACUGUACAAUACUCCAAAUGUACAUAUUUACAUCACAAUUCUAGGAAUCUCACUUUUAAGACUAAAAAAAUAUUGAAAAUACACACAAAGCCUUGUAUAUGUUUACUUUAGCAAAGUUGCAAGGUAAAAUGUUAAAGACUGGAAGUACAGAUUUUAGAUUCAGGUUGAAUCUAUGCCAAAACUGCAUCGCUAUAAAAUGUACAAUCUAAUAUGUGAAGAUAUCAACUUUUAACUGAUAAAUUAAGUAUCGGAUCUUGUAUAAAGUGUAAUUCCAAUAUUAUGUUAGAGUUGAGAGGACUUUAAAAUAAUGAAUACUAACAAUAAGUUAGUUUUAUAGUUUUAAAAGGCACUUUAUUUGUAGUAUGGCAAGUACAUUUCGCGAAUAAAUCUUUUCUAGUUACACAUAAA